This 72-nucleotide transfer RNA is filed under the name Ailuropoda melanoleuca (giant panda). It matches the Rfam family "tRNA". From Rfam's summary of the family: Transfer RNA (tRNA) molecules are approximately 80 nucleotides in length. Their secondary structure includes four short double-helical elements and three loops (D, anti-codon, and T loops). Further hydrogen bonds mediate the characteristic L-shaped molecular structure. tRNAs have two regions of fundamental functional importance: the anti-codon, which is responsible for specific mRNA codon recognition, and the 3' end, to which the tRNAs corresponding amino acid is attached (by aminoacyl-tRNA synthetases). tRNAs cope with the degeneracy of the genetic code in two manners: having more than one tRNA (with a specific anti-codon) for a particular amino acid; and 'wobble' base-pairing, i.e. permitting non-standard base-pairing at the 3rd anti-codon position. The record is from Rfam by way of RNAcentral. Lineage: Eukaryota; Metazoa; Chordata; Mammalia; Carnivora; Ursidae.
GCCUGGCUGGCUCAGUGCUGGAGCAUGAGACUUUUGAUCUCGGGGUUGUAAGUUCAAUCCCCACUUUAGGUG